GAUGAACGCUGGCGGCGUGCUUAACACAUGCAAGUCGAACGGAAAGGCUCCUGCUUGCAGGGGUACUCGAGUGGCGAACGGGUGAGUAACACGUGGGUGAUCUGCCCUUCACUUCGGGAUAAGCUUGGGAAACUGGGUCUAAUACCGGAUAGGACCGCCUUUUGGAUGGUGUGGUGGAAAGUUUUUUCGGUGUGGGAUGAGCUCGCGGCCUAUCAGCUUGUUGGUGGGGUAAUGGCCUACCAAGGCGUUGACGGGUAGCCGGCCUGAGAGGGCGUACGGCCACAUUGGGACUGAGAUACGGCCCAGACUCCUACGGGGGGCAGCAGUGGGGAAUAUUGCACAAUGGGCGGAAGCCUGAUGCAGCGACGCCGCGUGGGGGAUGACGGCCUUCGGGUUGUAAACCGCUUUCGCUAGGGACGAAGAGUAAUUGACGGUAACUGGAGAAGAAGCACCGGCUAACUACGUG
RNAcentral lists this ribosomal RNA (466 nucleotides) under uncultured bacterium. RNAcentral describes it as "partial 16S ribosomal RNA". It matches the Rfam family "Bacterial small subunit ribosomal RNA", at positions 28 to 507 of the family's 1533-position model. The record is from RNAcentral.